AGUUCAGACGUUCAGGACACCUCUCUUUCAAGGAGGUAGCGGGGAUUCGACUUCCCC
Gossypium hirsutum (cotton) is the source of this 57-nucleotide non-coding RNA. Lineage: Eukaryota; Viridiplantae; Streptophyta; Magnoliopsida; Malvales; Malvaceae. The record is from Rfam.